AAGAGACAGCAGCAGCCGCGGGAAUACGUAGGGGGCAAGCGUUAUCCGGAAUUAUUGGGCGUAAAGAGUGCGUAGGUGGUCUACUAAGCGCGAGGUGAAAGGCAAUGGCUCAACCAUUGUUAGCCUUGCGAACUGGCAGACUUGAGUGCAAGAGAGGAAAGCGGAAUUCCUAGUGUAGCGGUGAAAUGCGCAGAUAUUAGGAGGAACACCGGCGGCGAAGGCGGCUUUCUGGAUUGUAACUGACACUGAGAGACGAAAGCUAGGGGAGCAAAUGGGAUUAGAUACCCCCGUAGUCCCUGUCUCUUAUACA
RNAcentral lists this ribosomal RNA (310 nucleotides) under uncultured bacterium. RNAcentral describes it as "partial 16S ribosomal RNA". It matches the Rfam family "Bacterial small subunit ribosomal RNA", at positions 503 to 808 of the family's 1533-position model. The record is from RNAcentral.